This 427-nucleotide ribosomal RNA is filed under the name uncultured bacterium. Its description in RNAcentral is "partial 16S ribosomal RNA". It matches the Rfam family "Bacterial small subunit ribosomal RNA", at positions 355 to 774 of the family's 1533-position model. The record is from RNAcentral.
UGGGGAAUAUUGCACAAUGGGCGCAAGCCUGAUGCAGCCAUGCCGCGUGUGUGAAGAAGGCCUUCGGGUUGUAAAGCACUUUCAGCGAGGAGGAAGGGUAGUGUGUUAAUAGCACAUUGCAUUGACGUUACUCGCAGAAGAAGCACCGGCUAACUCCGUGCCAGCAGCCGCGGUAAUACGGAGGGUGCGAGCGUUAAUCGGAAUUACUGGGCGUAAAGCGCACGCAGGCGGUUUGUUAAGUCAGAUGUGAAAUCCCCGCGCUUAACGUGGGAACUGCAUUUGAAACUGGCAAGCUAGAGUCUUGUAGAGGGGGGUAGAAUUCCAGGUGUAGCGGUGAAAUGCGUAGAGAUCUGGAGGAAUACCGGUGGCGAAGGCGGCCCCCUGGACAAAGACUGACGCUCAGGUGCGAAAGCGUGGGGAGCAAACA